This 2557-nucleotide long non-coding RNA is filed under the name Amphibalanus amphitrite. Its description in RNAcentral is "uncharacterized LOC122374430, transcript variant X3". Lineage: Eukaryota; Metazoa; Arthropoda; Thecostraca; Balanomorpha; Balanidae. The record is from RNAcentral.
GGUGGCGUGGCGAGCAUGGCGCCCACGUGGCCAGAGAAAGAAUCUUGCGACUCUCGGCUUGGCAAUUGGCAUCACAUUUCAAAGAUCAUCUUGCUGGACUGCUCAAGGACAGAGUUGCUGUCAUGAUUCGAGAUUUACUGGAUGCCACUGACGUCUGUGAUGCUGCAUUCUUUGAGAAACAAGUCUCCUGGCCCUAUAACAGAGGAAUGCAAGAGGAUAUUCAUCAAGAUGACAAUGAGUGUAGAGCUGAAGAACUUACCAAAUCAAAACAGCUAGAACUGAACCAUGGCCAACCUGAGAGGAAUAUUUGAAGGUAUACUGGAGCGCACCAUGAUGACACUGUGAUAUCAUGGGAUAUAGAUCUCUAAGGAGCUGGUCUUGUCAAUGAUUGACAGACUGGUUGAACUACAUGGAUCAUGUGGAUCUCGCUGCCUGCCGAGGUCAGAUUCCUGACAGCAAGACAUCGUUAAAUAUGCAAGAAUCGCGUUCAGUCAGGUCUUGUGUGUUGACUGCUGCUUUGCACCAGCUUUGACUGCUGGAGAUCAUGGCACAUCCGUGGACGGCGUUGUCUCUACCUGUUGUCACUCCUAAGCCGUGUUCAACCAAAUUUCCAGUCCCAGGACGCUGAAAGAACACUUCAUCGAACCAACUUUCUUUGCGGCGCUGACUGAUAACGAGACCAUCACCUGAGUGUGUAAAGGUUAUCCUGCUGUGAUGUUAGCAAGCGUCGUCUAUUUGCGAACGGCAAAGGGUCACAACGCAUCUGAAUAGCUGGCAAGUGUGCGGUUCCUGAUUCCGUGGAGCAGCGUUAUCGAAAAAGAGACGUUUUGCGGUCUAGGGGCGCUUUGAAUGACAGCAGCGAAUAUGGCGACAACUCCCUUCGCACGGUGUUCUCGUGUGGAGUUUUGCUACAUACAAGAGUAUCUGCGGCGUCGUCACUCUAAGCUCCACGUUACUUCGUCUGCUGCUUGGCGUUGGCGUUGCUGGUGAAGAUUUAGAAGUUGCCUUGGGAUCGGCUAACGUCGAGAUUGGACUCAUCUGCUUGGUAAAAGGUGGCUGCAAGUCUGCUGGAUCACGAGUCAUGCCCUAACGUGAGCGGAAUGAAGCCGAUUCGGUGAAGCGAGUCUAUGGGAGCUGUCGUCACACUGCUCAUUAGAUGGUCCCUCGGAAUUGUAUGACGCCAGUAUGGAGUAGAUUCGAGAAUGACAUCCUCAGAAAGUCGCUGGGACGCUUGCAACAGACUUAUGCGUGCCCGACAUCGGCUCUGGUGGAAUCUGAAGCAGUGUCCCCACGCAGGUGGAUAUGCAGCACGGACUGUGGCGUCGGGCUUUCGCAGCUGGCAGAGGCGAAACGAUUGACCCGUAGACUAGGUUGCUGUUACGGCAAAUGUUCGCCUACCCAUUUUGAUGGAAGACUGGAUCAUAAAUAUCUGGAAUAUGUUACAAAGACAUUUUGCGGAGGCAGUACUGAAGAAUAUGUCGCUUUGUCUGGAACAUCAUGGCGACUGCUCCAACCUAAAGUGACCAGCUCAUUGAACCCGCGAUAUGAUAAUGCAAGCCAGGCCCUCCCGUCUUCUAACAGGUGUCUAUCGGAUGUCUUUACUGGGAACGCAACUGCGCUAUGGAUUGCUUGCCAACAAUACUGAAGGUUCCGCCUAAAGAAGUUGCAGACCCCCUGCUCUGCGACUCUGGAAAUGGUUGCGUUCAAUAAUCAACAUAGAUGCGGCUCUGGCAUUUGCAUUAUUCCAUGGCUGCCUUCUUCGUCGUUGGAGCUCGUUGGGUCCGGGCGUCGUCCAUUCGACUCCUCGCGGCGUUCGUCGGCACAGCCACCAUCAGCAAACACAAAGCAGCAAAGUGUCUGGUGGACAGAACCAGCGAAGUUACUCUAGGUUUUUGGGGUGCAGCUAUGGUGCUACAGGACAUAGUUCUCUGAAAACCGCUAGCGGGUUUCGUAGCGUGUACUGCGGCCGACAGGCGAAAGGAAACUCGCCUGAAAGAGGAUUGGGAAACAAGCCUUGCUGCCCUCGUCCGUGCUAACAAGUGCAUGUAGCGGCAGAGGGUCCUUGACCAAAAACCACGCAUCUGAAGGCACCCGGGGAACUUUAAAACGGCACACGUUCUUCGAAUGAAAGUUGUUGGUGUUUAGCGGUCGGCCUCAUCUCAUCUUCCGUGCCCUCGUCUCCGGAAAGAAAUUCCACCUGACUGAAUUCCUAGGUCCCAACUCCGACCUGCAUUUCAUGGCUCUAUGCAUAUUCGUUCAUCGUUUGACUAUUGGCGAAUUCCCGAUCGGACGCGUUUGAAGAACCAUGAAAGCUCUUCUGGUUCCAAAAUACCCAGGCAUCUGCGCGGAAACAUCUCCUUGGGACUUCUUCAAUGCGUCUGUGAUAAGCUAACGGGUAACUCGGAGGUGCGAGGUGCCACAGGCCACCCGCCGGGUCUUCCGGCGCUGGGAAGCCGCAUAGUGGAAACGAUCCGUGGUGUAAUCGGCAUUUUAUUGCGAGGACGCGUGUAUUUCGAGUCGAGAACGUUGUCUAAUAAAUGGCAGUCUGUUGAUAAAA